This 366-nucleotide long non-coding RNA is filed under the name Lathyrus oleraceus (garden pea). Its description in RNAcentral is "Pisum sativum (pea) long non-coding RNA (PSAT_LNC011291)". The record is from RNAcentral. Lineage: Eukaryota; Viridiplantae; Streptophyta; Magnoliopsida; Fabales; Fabaceae.
AAUAAGCUCCCAUAAUCCCUGUUUAAUAAUCAACCUAAUUUAAUCUUUCAAUUAUUUCACCUUGGCCAAAACUUCUUUCUAACUAUCACCACUUUAGCAAAUUUUUAUAUUAUAUCCAAUUCACAACCCACUCACUUAAAAAUCAUAUUUUCUUAUUACUUAAAUUAAUUAAAUCAACCAAUAAUUCUAAUUACUUUCUAAUAAUUUCUAUCCACCCCAAUAAAUCAAAUAAAAUUAUCCGACCACAUACAUAAUUCAUAAAAGUCAAUAUUAACUAAAGUAAAUUAAAAUUAACGAGAAAUUGGGUGUUACAACUUCCCCACUUAUAAAAUUUUUGACCUAAAAAAUCACAUGAAAAAAUAACUC